GAACGCUGGCGGCAGGCCUAACACAUGCAAGUCGAGCGGAAGAAGGGAGCUUGCUCCCGGAUUCAGCGGCGGACGGGUGAGUAAUGCCUGGGAAUCUGCCUGGUAGUGGGGGAUAACGUCCGGAAACGGGCGCUAAUACCGCGUACGUCCUACGGGAGAAAGCAGGGGAUCUUCGGACCUUGCGCUACCAGAUGAGCCCAGGCCGGAUUAGCUUGUUGGUGAGGUAAUGGCUCACCAAGGCGACGAUCCGUAACUGGUCUGAGAGGAUGAUCAGUCACACUGGAACUGAGACACGGUCCAGACUCCUACGGGAGGCAGCAGUGGGGAAUAUUGGACAAUGGGGGCAACCCUGAUCCAGCCAUGCCGCGUGUGUGAAGAAGGUCUUCGGAUUGUAAAGCACUUUAAGUUGGGAGGAAGGGCUUGCGGUUAAUACCUGCAAGCUUUGACGUUACCGACAGAAUAAGCACCGGCUAACUCUGUGCCAGCAGCCGCGGUAAUACAGAGGGUGCAAGCGUUAAUCGGAAUUACUGGGCGUAAAGCGCGCGUAGGUGGUUCAGUAAGAUGGAAGUGAAAUCCCCGGGCUCAACCUGGGAACUGCUUUCAUAACUGCUGGGCUAGUGUACGGUAGAGGGUAGUGGAAUUUCCUGUGUAGCGGUGAAAUGCGUAGAUAUAGGAAGGAACACCAGUGGCGAAGGCGACUACCUGGACUGGUACUGACACUGAGGUGCGAAAGCGUGGGGAGCAAACAGGAUUAGAUACCCUGGUAGUCCACGCCGUAAACGAUGUCAACUAGCCGUUGGAGUCCUUGAGACUUUAGUGGCGCAGCUAACGCACUAAGUUGACCGCCUGGGGAGUACGGUCGCAAGAUUAAAACUCAAAUGAAUUGACGG
Molecule: ribosomal RNA, 890 nt
Filed under: uncultured Pseudomonas sp.
Lineage: Bacteria; Pseudomonadati; Pseudomonadota; Gammaproteobacteria; Pseudomonadales; Pseudomonadaceae
Description: bacterial SSU rRNA
Rfam family: Bacterial small subunit ribosomal RNA
Source: RNAcentral